UAAUUUUAUUGGUUAUGAAAUCCUUACAAAUUUAGCAUGCAUUAAUCAUGGCUUCAAUUUUCUCUGUUUCUGAUUUCAAAUAAGAUUUUUGAUAGCAGAUAUUUAUAUUAUCAUGUUUUUAUAUACCCUUUUCUCAGAAAAUUGAAUGAAAGGUGAACACUAUUUGAUUUGUGAUAUAAUUUAAAGAAGAAUAUGAACAUAUUUUCCUUCAGGUCUUAAUUGUUUGGGUUUUUGUCCCACCUCAACUUAAGUAGGAGAGGCCAAACUUAGGCUUGCUGUUUCUGGUAGUAUUAGUUUUGGGUAACCACAUAUGGGUAAGUAAAUGAUAUUUGGUUGGCCGUUGUAUUUACAUUUUAUUGGUCAUCUCAUUAGGCACUGACCACUCUGGAUUGCUCCAUUGACUUUGAAACUUGCAUAGUUUAUGUCCAAUUAACCUUGUACAUCUUAAUUCCAUAGAUAUUAUUUGGCACCUUCCCUUAGUCAAGCUUAGUCAAGCUCGACUGUCUUUAAAACUCUGCAUAUCUUACCUUCUAAAGUGUUGCCAUUCAUAUUAAACCAUUUGCAAUAUGCUAUCAAAAUUAAAUAUAGGAAAGACAUAUCUGUGUCAACAACUUAAUAUAAAGUACAUGUAUAUGGCUUUUGUUUGGAAAUAAAACCUAAAUAUAUGUAAAACCAUCCAUAUUUUUUUUUACAAAUACAUUUAGUGAUUAGAUUUUUAUAGUGUAGGUUUUGAUACACAAGUAUAGUUGCACAAGUGUUAUUUUUGUGCCAAUGGGUUCAUGAUCAAAUUGUCACUUUUCCAGCUGUGAAAUCCUGUUUGUCUACUUAUUAUGUUUUUUUUAUAAACAUUUUGUAAUUUCUUGUUAUGGUUUGUUGAUGUUUUGAUAUUAAAGAAAGUAGCUUUGAA
This 907-nucleotide long non-coding RNA is filed under the name Mytilus galloprovincialis (Mediterranean mussel). Lineage: Eukaryota; Metazoa; Mollusca; Bivalvia; Mytilida; Mytilidae. The record is from RNAcentral.